Molecule: ribosomal RNA, 749 nt
Filed under: Trentepohliaceae sp. Kukwa 19473
Lineage: Eukaryota; Viridiplantae; Chlorophyta; Ulvophyceae; Trentepohliales; Trentepohliaceae
Description: SSU rRNA
Rfam family: Eukaryotic small subunit ribosomal RNA
Source: RNAcentral
GGCGAUGUUUCAUUUCAAAUUUCCUGCCCUUAUCAACUUUCGACGGUAGGGUAGUGGCCUACCGUGGUGGUAACGGGUGACGGAGGAUUAGGGUUCGAUUCCGGAGAGGGAGCCUGAGAAACGGCUACCACAUCCAAGGAAGGCAGCAGGCGCGCAAAUUACCCAAAUCCCAACUCGGGGAGGUAGUGACAAGAAAUAACGAUGCUCCGGCCAUCGGUCGGGUAAUCGGAAUGAGAACAAUUUAAAUCCCUUAUCGAGGAUCAAUUGGAGGGCAAGUCUGGUGCCAGCAGCCGCGGUAAUUCCAGCUCCAAUAGCGUAUAUUUAAGUUGCUGCGGUUAAAAAGCUCGUAGUCGGAUUUCGGGUGGCGCCUACCGGUCCGCCUUUGGUGAGUACUGGUAGGUACCACCUUUCUGCCGAGGACGGGGUACUGGGCUUAGUUGUCUGGGCCUCGGAGUCGGCGAUGUCACUUUGAGUAAAUUAGGGUGUUCAAAGCAGGCUUAUGCUCUGUAUACACUAGCAUGGGAUGACACGAUAGGACUUCGGUUUAUCUUGUCGGUCUGUAAAUCGGAGUAAUGAUUAAGAGGGACAGUCGGGGGCAUUCGUAUUUCGUAGUCAGAGGUGAAAUUCUUGGAUUUACGGAAGACGAACUUCUGCGAAAGCAUUUGCCAAGGAUGUUUUCAUUGAUCAAGAACGAAAGUCGGGGGCUCGAAGACGAUUAGAUACCGUCGUAGUCUCGACCAUAAACGAGC